Molecule: ribosomal RNA, 472 nt
Filed under: uncultured bacterium
Lineage: Bacteria
Description: bacterial SSU rRNA
Rfam family: Bacterial small subunit ribosomal RNA
Source: RNAcentral
UGGGGAAUAUUGGACAAUGGGGGAAACCCUGAUCCAGCGACGCCGCGUGUGUGAAGAAGGCCUGCGGGUUGUAAAGCACUUUCGGUGGGAACGAAAUAUGCCGGGCUAAUACCCCGGUAGGCUGACGUUACUCAAUGAAGAAGCACCGGCUAACUCUGUGCCAGCAGCCGCGGUAAUACGUAGGUGGCAAGCGUUGUCCGGAUUUAUUGGGUUUAAAGGGUGCGUAGGCGGUUCCAUAAGUCAGUGGUGAAAUACAAUAGCUUAACUAUUGAGGUGCCAUUGAUACUGCGGAACUUGAGUACAGACGAGGUAGGUGGAAUUGACGGUGUAGCGGUGAAAUGCGUAGAUAUCAAGAGGAACACCUGAGGUGAAGACGGGUUGCUGGGCUGACACUGACGCUGAGGCGCGAAAGCCAGGGGAGCAAACGGGAUUAGAUACCCCUGUAGUCCCUGAGCGGGCUGGCAAGGCGCAU